RNAcentral lists this long non-coding RNA (205 nucleotides) under Phaseolus vulgaris (common bean). Its description in RNAcentral is "long non-coding RNA (PVUL_LNC003261)". The record is from RNAcentral. Lineage: Eukaryota; Viridiplantae; Streptophyta; Magnoliopsida; Fabales; Fabaceae.
GAAUAUUUUUUUUCGGACUGGGCUAUAUCAUCCCGAAAAAAAAGAUUCGAUAGAAACUCAGAAAAAAGGAAAAGAAAUCCGUCUUUACGCCUCGCUCCACUCAACCAAAUAAUUAUAGUAAAAGAAAAGUGAUUUCUACUUCAUUGGAUCUCAUGUCUCAAUUAAGAGGAGUCAUGGAAAGAACAGGUUCAAAAUCGCGAUCAAA